UCCAAAUCCCUUUCUUUUGCUCCAAGACUCAAUCCAUCCAAUAUUCUUCCCUGAAAUAUAAUAAAUUGCAAUUUAAAGUAAACUAUCCUAAAAAGGAAAUAAUACUAAUAUAAAAUUAUAUAAAAUCUAAAUAAAACUAAACUAAAAAGCAUAUUAAAAUAGUAUAUAAAUGACUCAUCAAACUCCCCCACACUUGAAUCUUUGCUUGUCCUCAAGCAAAAGGCAUAAACAUAGUAGCACCAACAGUUAUAUCAAAUGACAAUUCAAUUAAAGCACAUGUCUCCUCAAGGGCUUAAAUCUCAAAUGUACACUAAUCACAAACUCAAGCAUUUCUUGUAAUUUUUAUUCAACCCAACGAUCAAGUUUCAAGUGAGUGUGUGUGUGAAGUCUAACCCUUUUCUUGCUCCUGUAUAAGAUAGGCAUUAUGAGGAAACAUGGUCUAAUCCUAGCACUAAACCAACCAAGAAAGAUUCCUUCUAUAAUUCAUAUAAGAGAGAUGGGAGUAUUUGAGAAUCUUUGUUCUUUGCCAUUUGCACAUUUUAAGUUCUUUAUUUAAGGAACAACAUCUUCACGUAGGAGGUCGGAGGGCCUACCCCCUUCCCCAAUCUAGAUUCAAUGGUAUCCCUUAAAACAUCAUCUUCACGUAGGAAGUCGGAGGGCCUACCUCCUUCCCCAAUCUAGAUUCAAUGAUGCUUUUUUAAAGUUUUUCCUCAAGAUAACAAUCAUCUUCACGUAGGAAGUCGGAGGGCCUACCUCCUUCCCCAAUCUAGAUUCAAUGAUUAGAUCUUUGGAAUUUAUUUGGCUUUUUGGCUUUUUAUGAACUCCCUUAUACUAACUUAUACUACUGGCACUUUGAGAAUCUUUAAAGGUUAAUGCACCACUAAGAUUAAAACGUGUUUCCUUAAAAUACCUAUUCAUACAUUUACUCAAGGGAAGCAACUUUGUGUUUUUCUUAUUGGAGAAUUUUAUUCACUUUAAAACAAGAUGUGGGUAUAUCAAGAAGACUUAAAACACAAGAGUUUGCUUUUAUGUACAAGAAUCAAUCAAAUAAGAGGAGACAAUGAAAAUUUUGUGCCAUGAUAUUUUCAAUAAAAAUUAGCUACUUAACCAUGCCUUUUACAAUAAAACAAAACAAAAGAAUAAAGUUCAAGGGAGUUUGGAAACACUACGACUAAAGACACUUUAUUAGGCUCCCCCCACACUUAGGAGAAGCAUUGUCCUCAAUGAUUCAAAAUAAGAAAAAGAAAAAGAAGAAGAAUAAGAAGAAGAAGGAGAAGAAGAAGAAGAAGAAGAAGAAGAAGAAGAAGAAGAGAAGAAGAGAAGUAGAGAAGAGUAGAGGAAGAGGAGAGCUCACAAUUUUAUGGAAAUCCACAAGGUGGACCUUGGAGGUGAAGGUGUUGCAUCAUGUAUUGGAACAUUUGAUUGUGUUAUUCAUUUAUUUGAUUGCCCCUUAGGACAUCGUUUCUUAUCCCGACCAUUUCAACACCUUGUUUUUGUUGCUCGAUGCAUAUUAUUUGAACUUUGGUUUGCAUCCAUGUCCACCGUUUAUCAUUAUAGUUUCCACCGGCUUUUUGUUCAUGGUGUUGUGCACCUACCUCCUCUUCAUCACCACCAUCAUCACCAUCAUCUUGUACCUGUGGGUUAGUACCAACAUAAAGCAAAUUUUCCACCACCUCCGGAUUAGUAAUGUCCGAAUUAGGUAGAAUAAUCAAACAAUUAGUUCUAAUAAUUCUCCAUUCAUAUUGGUAAUUAUGAGUAUGGUCAUGGGUUCUAAGGAAAGACAAAGUAGUGAGAGUAUAUAAGUUUGGAUAAUAAUUUUCAUCUAUCCUCUUGAUCCUUUGAUUCACACUCACCCUAAACCUCUUAGCAAUAAAAGUGAGUUUGGAUUUAAAAGCAUCAUUGUAAUUUGGGUCAGUUUGGAUUUUCGUCCCUGUAAAAAAAAACAUUGAAAAACAUCCCUGUAAAAUUUUUUGUUUGAAAAAGGUCCCUGGCCCCACUUUUUUGCUGACAUGGUAUGUUUUGGCCAUGUGGCAGUUGCUGACUGUGCAACUUUUGCCACGUGGCAGUCCAUGUCAUUAAAUAUUUAAAAAUUAUUUUUUAAAAUUAAAAAAACUGAAAAAAAAUCAUAAAAAAAUCCUAUAUUUUUUUAAAUAUGAAGAAAAAAAUUGGAAAUUCCUUUUUUUUUUUUUCACAUAUGGAAAUAAAUGUUUGAAAAUUAAAAUUAAAAAUUAUAUAAUCUCAAAAUUUAUAACUUUUGAAAAUAUAAUUUUCAGUAUUUUCGAAAAAAAAUGUAAUAUAUAAUAUUCAAAUUAAAAAAAGAAUUAAUUUUCGAAAAUUGAAUUUUCACUUUUUUUUUUAAUUUUAACUAGUUUUUUUUAUGAUUUUUAAAUUUUUUUUAAUUUAAAAACAGAAUUUUGAAUAUUUUUUUUUUAAUUAUGUGGCAUGCCACGUGGCAAAAGUUGCACAGUCAGCAACUGCCACAUGGUAAAAACAAUGCCAAAUCAGAUCGGAAGUGGGGCCAGGGACCUUUUUCAAACAAAAAAUUUUACAGGGAUAUUUUUCUAAAGUUUUUUUUUUUUUACUAGGGACAAAAAUCAAAACUGGUCCAAAUUACAAGGACGACUAUCAUAUUUAUGGUCUUUUUUUUUUUUUUUUUCUUUUCUCUUCCAUUGUGUUUCUAACUGUAGCUAACUUUAAUGUACAGGAGGAACCUGAUGUAAAAGAUGCUGAUGAUGAGGUAAUUAAAGUUCCAUUUUUUUUGGACAAAAUAGAGGUGAUUAACAAAAGUUCUGGGAUUACUGCUUUUAACAAUUGUAUGGGAUCUGAUAACCACUUGACCCAUGCUGAAUUCAUAAUUUUUAGUUAAAGGAGUUUGGUGCAGUGAUAUUAUCCAUACUGGAUCCUUGCUGAAUUUAAUAAUUUUUCAGCACAUGCACAUGCUUCUGGCAGCAAAUUGUGAACUGAAGAGACUGAACUGAGCUUUAAUUUUCAAUCCCAAUCUAGUACAUAGUGGAAAUGUUAAUAUAAAAAAUAUGGAACAUUUGGGUUUACACUGUCACUAUGUGAAUUCCAUUUCGGUGAAGACACGACAUUAAGCUAUAGAUUGGAAUCAUGUUCAUGAUACAAAAAUAAUAAAUAAAGUGAACAAAUGUUUAAGAUGUUUGAUAACAAAUAAAAAACACUUGGGCAAGUAAUCCGACUGACUGGUAUUUGUACCAAGAAAGGCAUUUUUAAACGAAAUGAAUGGUGCAUAAUUUGCAUAUUAAAUUAAUGAUGCUAAAACUUUUGAACUGAUAGACUUAGAAUAUUUCUUGUUGGCAGGAAAAAGACGAGGAUGACUAUGAAGAAAAGGAUGACGAUAAGCGUGUUGUUGAGGAAGGCAAUUGAAAAUGCAUUGUGGUGGCGUGACCUGUUUAUUUUUUAUUUUCUGGUAUGAGUAUGUCUUAGGCUUUUGGGCGUUCAGACCAUGGCUUUCUUUCAGAGUAAUAACUCGUGGAAACAAGUAGAGCUACCCAGGCCAGUUAGUGGUACUCGGACCAUAAUUUACUAAUUAGCCUGUCAAGUUAUUUCUGCUAGUUUCACCCUUGGUGCAAUUUUAGUGAUACUUAUGAUAUGUUAGCUUUCUCUCCUGGGUUUUUGUUGUGAAUUACAUUGGUAUUUACUUGCUGUUUGGGUAUCUUCUUAGCAUAAAAAGGCUUACAUGGUAUAUUCAUAUUGUGUUUGUUACAUUUUUUUAAUAUUUAAAUUCAUUCUUAUCUAUUUGUUACAUGUGUUAUUUGUAUUUAAGAUUGAACGUAUUUUUGAAAGAAAAAAAAAUACCAACCCAAAAGAGCUUAUACAUUGUAGAUAGGUAAGAGGACAUUGCUUAAACACCCUUUGGGAUGUAACAAGAAAAAAAAAGAAGCGUAAUAUAUCAUUUGGUCCUUUAACUUAAUUCUUUUUUUCGAUUUGAUCCCUUAACUAUUAAGCGUUUCAAUUUGGUUUUUUAUCUUUGUUUUUGCCAUCAAUUUGGUUCUAUUUUAUUAAUUUAAACCUUUUAAAAAGAAGACUGUUGGAUAAAGGAGGUCCAUCGUAUCUAACGGUAUAUCACCAACACCUAAUUUUCAAACCCAGAAGCUUUUUAUGUUUUAUGAAUGGUCAAUAAAAGAGAGAAAAAAGAAAAGAAACAGAGUGGCUGGUGCAGGGCGGCAGUGUUUGAUUUUGAAAUUAGGGUUGAUUUUAGGAUGAAUUGGUGAAUAAAUUGAAUUUUGGUGUUGUUUGUGGUGAAUUGAAUUUGAAUUAAAAAGUCUACUCACGGUAAACUCAUCCAUUAUAAGAUAACUUAUUAGCUAUCCACUAUCAUUUUUGCCGAGCAGAACAAAAUGAUUUUUUUUUCCUUUUUUUUCUUUGAAAUGGUAAGAGUUGGAUGAUUUAUUAGAUAGAGUUUGCAAAAUAACUAUUUGGUUGAUUAAGUUAAACAAUGUCAAUUAAUUUAGUCAUUUUUCAGAAUUUAAUACCUAAGUUUUCGAAGUUCUAUAUUUGUUUUGAUCCAUCAAUAUAUCAAUGGAGUAUUCAUUAUACUAUGUAGGUUGUAAAAGUUCUAAAUUAACAUUUUCCAACAAAAAAAAAAAAGAAACAUAACUAUUAUGUUGCAAAUUUAAUGGAGUAAAUUUCUUAAGCUUUACACUUUUCAUGGGGUAAAGGCUUAGGUUUCUAGUAUACACAAUACUUUUUGUGUGUGGAUAAAUGCAAUACUUUUACUAGAGACUAUGAGUGUCAACAACCUUAAAUACACUAGUAGUCAACUAAGUAAGUCAUUAAAUACACACAAUAGGCUAGAUUGCCAUUAAGGUCUUGUUUCUUUGUGCAUAAGAUUGACAUGAAAGUAAAAUAUACUAAUAUACAAAAAUAUUUUGAUAAACGAAUGAUCUUAAUUAAUGAUAUCCUUUAAAAUGAAUACAAAACAAAAACUUGUGCUUAAUAUGUAAAUAUUAAAAACUAACAAACUUAGCAAAGGAUGAUCAGUGACUUCUUUGAUUUUGCAUAGAACUUGUCUUAAUUAUUGUAGCCGAGAACUGGUGUUAUUGUCAAUUCAGUAUUUAUGAUCACAAAAUGUCAGGUUUAUUUCAUUUUUUACUUUUAAUUUCAUCCACCUUAAAACAUUCGAAAACUGAACAUUGCAUAUUCCCUUCCAUCUUGAGAGAACUCGUGCAUUGCAAAUACCAUAAAAAAACCUUUAUUGCAAUGGGAAGAAAAAGAAAUACAUCACUUUUAAUAGUUGGUAGCAAAUGUAUUAUUAUGAAACUAAUACCUCACUAAUGUGGAUUGUUAAGUGCAAUAGGUAUCCCAACAACAUAGUUCUUUCCAUUGGUCCAAAUUAACUUUCCAAAGACAUAAUCAGACUUAUCCUUACUUUGCAGCUUGAAGGUUAAUGUAACUCUGAACUCCUUCUUUUCGCCCUUUUGAUUAAAGCUCAGCGUCUUAGGCUCAACAUAAAUUACAUAUUCCGGGGGAGCUUGGAUUUGUGCGGUAUAUGUGCUUGGAGACCCCACGUUUGUAAGAGUACGAGUAACAUUUAUAGAUUGUCCGACUUUAAAGUCCAGAAUUGUGAUUGCUGGAUAGUUGAAAUCUUUCAAAUUGAAGGAUUUUGGACAAGUGUAGGGCUUGCCAUAGAAAAACCUAAGCAUGGAACUAUUGUAGCCACGAGCGCACAAAAAGUUCAUAUAGUCAGUAAUAUUUAGGUCAUAUACAAGUCCAGGGUCGACCACACGAUUAGGUUGAAUGUGUCCUGCUCCGUAGUCAAAUGGAGUUGCCUUUUCCUUAAAUGAAUCCAAAAUAGGUCCCCCAGUGUUGUCUUCUGUUGUUGCUGCAAAAUACGUUAAUAUAUUUAGGUUGUGUUAAACUCAACGUUUUUGAACUUUGAAGCUAAAAAGAAGUGAAGUCAAAAUUAUGUUAUGUCAAACAUAACAUUGCCAUAGAAUGCAUAUACACUUGUAAAGAAAGUGCAAGAAAAUGCACAAACUGAUCUUAUCGGUGUGCGAAAUUCUACUUUACCUGUUGUCAUGAUUGCUGACUUGACAGCAGCAGGACUCCAAUUAGGAUGAAGAGAUUUUACUAGCCCAACAAGACCAGCAACAUGAGGACAUGACAUUGAAGUUCCUGACAUAAUAUUGAAAAGAGUUCUGCGUUUAUCAUAUUCUUGUUCCGAGGGAGAUAUAUUUUCACUAUAAGCAGCAAUUAUGUCGACUCCUGGUGCGGUGAUGUCAGGCUAGAACAACGGAAAACAAAAAUCAUAAUUGCAAUAAUACAAUAAGAUUAAGUUAUUAUAAGAUCAACUAAUAUAGGAUAGUCAUAUUCAAAAUAGAAGACUAAACCUUGAGGAUUGUUGGCUCAACGAGAUUUGGUCCUCUUGCUGAAAAAGAUGCUAUAAAAGGAGCUGGCUUUGUAGCCAACUGUGUUGUCACUUUAGAAAUGUAAGCCACAGGAGACCUACAUAAUACAUGAAUGAAUAAAUAUAAAAUGCUAUGAAUAAUGAAAAACAUGAAAUCAAAGGUUUUGGAAUGAAUGUUGUUGAAAUCUCGUGCAGUCUUGAUAUUAGUGGAUGGUUGGAUCAAUAUAAGACGAUACAUAUUUUAAACUGAGCCUAAAUUAUGUACCGUCCAAUCUUGAUCCAAUAGCUAUUGAUAUCAUGACUACAUGAUUGCACUGAACUCUGACCGCAAACAAUCCAAAUCCGAAAUCAAAACUAGGUAGAAUUCAUCAAGCUUGAAACAAAAUAACAAAAUCAUUACUUGGUGUGGUUAAUGUAAUUAAAAAUGUAACUGCCAUCUAUAAAGUUAACAUAUGAAGAUGGAAGCACGUGAGGAUCAGCUUGAAUUCCACUCCCUGAAUCCUUAUCUGAAUUAGCCAAAAUAAUUCCAACAGCACCUACACGAGCAGCUUCCACACCCUUAUGAGUUCUACAAAGAAAGUGACAAUCAUCUGGAACUUGAAAACAAACCAAUAUUUUCCCCUUAGCCUUUUGUGGAUCAAGAGUUCCACCCUCGCAAUUUAGGCUACAAAUGAUUUAGUAUAUUUUAAUUAGGAAAAAUUUCCACUAGAUAAAAAUUUCUUAAGAGGGUAAAUUCAGUAAAAAAAGAUAGUAUUCUUACGCGUCUUUGGAAGAUGCAUUAUCAUAUUUGACAUCAGCACCAGUUAUCAAUGGAUACAACUUAUUAGGCAGCAAUUCCAACUCUGAAAGGCUAGCACCCUAAUAGAAUAUUCUAAUUCAGUAAAAUGGUAACUGUAAUAGUAAGGGAAAUAAUAAUGAAAAUAAAAUAUGACAAUCAAUAUACCUUGAGUGUUUUGUUGUCACCAAGGGUAACAAAACUAGUGAACUCUCUAUCAAUUGUACUUGCAGCAACUGUAAACACCCAUGGUUCCAAGUUGGAUACAGUACUAGGAGCAGGUCCUGAAUUUCCUCCAGCAGCCACAACAAUUAUGUUAUUGGCAACUGCAUGGAAAGACCCUAUGGAAAUACUGCUAUCGUAAAAUUCAACAGGAAAAUCACCACCCAAAGACACUGAAAGCACGUCGACACCAUCACUUAUGGCAGCUUCAAAACCAGCCAAAAUAUCUGCAUCAUAACAUGAAUCCCAACAAACCUUAUAGGCUACAACUCGUGCUUUUGGCGAUCCACCACUUGCUGUUCCAUUGCCAUAGCCAAAUACACUUGCAUUAGCAACAAAAUUUCCUCCGGCAGUUGAUAAAGUAUGUGUACCAUGACCAUCAAUGUCACGUGCACUAUUAAAUGAUACACUGUGGAGACCUUUACCACCACUUGGACUUGCUAAAAAUCCUUUGUAAAAAUAUCUUGCUCCAAUAAGCUUCCUAUAGGUAAAAAUCACAAUAUGAGUGAUACAUAAUUGAUAAAAGUAAUAUCAAAGACAUUUUAAAAAUAUAUGUUUUAAUAUAAUUUUUUACUUGUAAGGUGACGAUUUUACUCAGAUUAGAAGGUUGUAGCAGACGAGAUUAAGUUACCUGUUGCAGAAAAAUUUAUCUUGAUUUUGUUUAUCAACUUGACAAAUUCCAUGCCAUUUUUUUGGGAUUGGUCCCAUCCCUUCAUCACUGAAACUCUUGGAUUCAGGCCAAACACCUAACAUAAACACAACAUAUCAAUCAAAAGUGGGUGUUUAACUUUUUUAAUACCCUUUUAUACUUUGUUGGAGGGUCUUACGGUAAGAGUAGGAAGAAUUAUUGUUUGUUUCUCAAAAUAUAUCAAUCUUUUCUAUUUUUCUAAAUUUUAUUGGUUCAAAAUAUAUUUUUUUGUCAAAAGAAUUUAAAACCUAAACAUUUAACAAAAGUUAUAUAAAGGGUGUGAUCGAUCUGAAUCUCCUUUUAAAGUCAUAGUAUUAUGAGGUACUAAAAAUAUAGCAAAACAAAUCGUUUUAGUUUAAUGAAUAGUCAAUAGUAAAAAAGUAGUCAAUAGUCAAGUAUCCUAUAAAGGGAGAUCAAUGAAAAACUUAAAAGGCAAAACGAAAAAGAAAAUGUAAACCAAUGUUAAGGAACUAAAUGUAGUAAAAUUAUCUUAAAUUUUUUGUAGUCAAUUUAAAAAUGUAAAAAAUGCUCAAUUAUUUUCUUUUGUUUCUUUAAUAAGUGCCCAAAACACUUAUUCAUCUCUUGUGAUUUUUUUGGCAAACUUUGGUAUGGCAUUUCUCAUUGGCUGGGUUAUCAAUUAGUGCUUCCGGAAAAUGUGUUAGACCAUUUAUAUCAAUUUGGCACCUUUAGCGGCUUUUCUAACAACAAACGCUCAACUCUUAAUCUUAUUUGGCUAUCUUGUGUGUGGGUGAUCUGGCUUGAAAGAAAUGCUCGCAUAUUUCACCAAAAAGAAGCUUAUUUUAAUCAAUUGUUAGAUAAAGUUAAGCUCCAAUCAUACUGGUGGCUGAAAGCGAACCGACCUAAUUUUGUUUUCUCCUACCAUUCAUGGUGGUUGAACCCUUUACCUUGCUUAGGAAUAUUUAUGUAACGGGGUAGCCUUCUUUUUUUGUUCUUGUUUUGGCCUUUUGGCACUCUUAUAAUUAACUCUUUUAGCCGGGGUUUUAGCACUCCUUGGUGCUGAAAUCUCCAGGCUUUCAGUUUUUUAAUCCAUUUUAGUUUACUUAAAAAAAAAAAAUAAGUGCCCAAAACAAUAGUCAUGACCUGAAAUAAUAUUUAUCAAGGUUGACGAUGACUGGACAAUGAGAUGCUUCAUUAAAAACUACUCAUCCAUUUCCAAAAAAAUUAUCAUUUCAGUAAUGAUUUUUCUUUGAAAUGUUAAAUAAAAUGGUUUCUUUAAAGGCUAUUUUUUUUUUUAUUCUUGAUCUCUCUAUUUUUUAUUUUUUUUUGAAGAAUGAUCUCUAUUUAUUAUUUUUAUGGUUAUAUCUCUUUUAAAAAUGAAAGCUUGAUUAUUUGCUACCCAAUUUUUUUCCUGACCUCAAUUCAAAUAUAAUUUGUUUUGGACUUUGAAAGUUAUUUUUAUGUCAUAAAAUAAAUCCCGACCAAAAUUAGUGAAUAAAGAUCCUCUCUAUUUUCUCAAAAAAUAGAUGAAGGAAAUUAUUUAGAAUGAGAGAUAAACAUUUAGACGGUGGAUUUCAUCAUCAUUAAUUAUUUUAUAUACAUUUUUAAAUUUCUUUGUGUCUUUAUCUAUUCAAAUGGAUGGAAGAAAAUGAGAUAAAAUAGCCUUAAGCUAUUUUAGUUUUAGAGGAAAUAAAAUCAUCGAAAAUCAAUUUACAAUGACUUAAAUCUUAUUUUAGUUUCUGAUUUAGUUGAUUAUUAUUUUUUUUUUUUGGUACAAAAGAGGGCAAAGCUCAUAUUCAGUUGAUUAUUUUCACUAAAGAUAAGUUACUUUAUACUCAUCUAAAAAAAAGUCACGUUAUACUAAACCUUUUUCGUGAAGGAGUCUAUUUUAGGUGGUGACAUGUUUUUUGUGGAUGUUGUUCUCAAGGGUGUUUAUUUUCAGGUUUUCCGCUUAUAUACGGCGUCUUUUGUUUGUAUUCUCAGUUUCACCGGUCUCUAUUCGUCUUGAGCAGGGAUUUGAUUGUUUAAUAAAAUUUGUUGCUUAAAAAAAAAAAAAAAAUCACAUGCAGCAAUAUAAAGAUAUGAUUCAUCAUUCAUUACCCGUAUCUAUAUUUCCAAUGAUAAUAUCUUCACCAAAUGAUCUCUUCCAUAUUGAAUCCUUUCGAAUUCCACCAUUGCUCUUUAACCGAAGGAAAUCCCAUGAGUGCGUUGUUUGAAGUUUAUGUUUUUUGUUCAAGAAAAUUGAUAUAACAUUAGGAUUCUCUGCAUUCACCAAUUGGGUAGCAUCAAUUAAAAAAAAAAAUUAAAUUCAUUAAAAUAAAUAAGGAAUCAAUGCAUGAUGAUAAUUACAUACUUGCAACCUCAGCUGCUUCAUCUUCAUCAAGUAUUGCAGCAAAGCCGUUAAUAUUUUUAUUGUAAGAAUAAAAUAUUGCUUCUUUGGCCUUCUCAGUGCUGAGUAAGAACAAAUAAAUUAAAUCUAAUCAAUUCAUUUUGGUUUUGUCACAUGAGAAUUUCAUAGUGAGGGUUUAAUUAGUUGUAUAGUACCAUACCUUCCAAGGUAAGAUCCAAGUAAAUCAUAGUGAGAGUUUGUGGCAGAUUCAAUAUCAAAUGAUGAAGGAUCUGGACCAUGAGAAUGUGAUCCUAAGUAUACAAUAUAGGACUAGAAAGAAAAAAAAUAAUAUGGAAGAUAAUUAGGUCACAAUCAAAAUGUUAACAUAUAAAAAUUAGAAAAUUAAUCGAAUAAUGAAAUAUGAUGCUUGACACAAAGCUUGCCUGUUUGAUUGCUAUGGUAGGUUCUGUCCAAAGAACACAAAUAAGAAGUGACACUAACACAUGAUGAAUGGAGGAUGGCAUUGUUAUUAUGAAUGAAAAACUAAUUUCGGAUAUGUGCAAAGGGUCUAUGCAUCCCCUGCUUAUAUAGAUCCGAUUAAUCUCUAUCUCUAUUAUAAAUAUAAAUAUAAAUAUUUGGCUUAAUUUUUUUUUUCAAAGUACACAGGUCAACUUUCUACUCUAAGCAUCAUUUAAUGAGAUAUCAUUUAAUGUUAUAUCAUGUUUAAUUAGUUGGUAACCGAAAAGAAAAGAGCAUUUUUUUUAAGGAAGAAAGGAGCGUUGUUGUUAGUGAGCAAAUAACGUUAGUAGCCUAAAAUUAGGGGGUUAAUUCAAUUGAGAUUUUAAAGGAUUUUAAAAGACUUUUUUGUUUUAAAAAUGUCUUUAGGUAUUUAAUCAAAACUUUUAAGUAAUCUAAAACAUUCUUGUGGUAUUCAAUUAGGAUUUUCAGAAUUUUUUAAUGAGUCCAAUAAAAUCCAGAGGUAUUCAAUUGAGAUUUUACACAACUUAAAAAUUGUCUAUUGGUAUUCAAAAUUCUAAGGAUUUUAAUGGGUUGUUGUGAGUAAUGGAUUUUGUGAGACUUUUUAGUGUAAAAUGUAUCUACCAACAAUCUCACACCUAGCCUUGAGACUUUUUUUGUCUCCCACACAUAGCCUUGAGACUUUUUUGCUUCUCGUUAUUUUUUUUUUACGGAAGUUGUUUCUCCGGUCACAACGUUGUUGUUCAUGCUCCAGUAAAAAAAUAUAUUGUUCCUGUGCACGUUCCAUAUUAUUACAUUUCAAGUAUUACAGAAAAUACGUAACAAACAGAAUUUCAAGUGUUACAGGAAAUACGUAAUAAAAGAAAUUCAUUUCAAGUGAUUUUGCUAUAGUUUCAUAGAGACUAUUUCAAGCAUUAAAAUAAUUCGGUGAUUUUACUAAAGUUUUGUUCAAGUCAUUUUUUUCUACUAAUUUAUUCUCAUUAUUAUUUAUUUUUUUAGCAGAUUGUUUUGUUGUUGUUAUAUGCCUAUUACUUUUUUUUUGGGUACAAUUAUAUGUCUAUUACUCUUAAGUGGCCAUUAUUUUUUUAAGGCAUUUUUAUUAUUAAUUUUUUUUGUCAAGUAAUAGUGGCUAGAUUCACACACAUUAUAUGUGUGGAGAAGUGGAAAAUUUGCGGUUUGAACCCCAACUUCUGCAGAAGUUAUCCCCAGUAGUUACCAACAGAGCUACACUUAUGGGAUAAGACAUUUUUUUAUUAUUAUUAUUAGUCAAUUUGAUAUUAUAGAUUUAUAAUAUUUUUUAAUCCACGGGUCAUUUUGAAUUUUUCUUAAAAAUUGAUACAAUAAUUUCAAAUCUGAAAAUCUUAUGAUGUAAAAGAGUUUGUAUUGUCUAAUGGUUUCGUAAAAAAAUAAAAAAAAUAAAUAAAAGAGUUUGUAUUGAGAAUAUUGUAAAAGAGUAUGUUAUAAUCAUUUCUUUCCAAUGAAUCCUUAAAAUCUUUUGAAAUCUUAUAAAAUCCAUAAAAUCUUUUCAAAUCCUUUAAAAUCUUAUGAUGUAAAUCCGUUGAAAUCCAUUAAAAUCAUGAAAGUCAUUAAAAUCAUGCAAAGUCUUUUAAAAUCCUUAAGACUUUUUAAAUAAAAAAUGUCCUUUAAAAUCUUAAUCCAAUACACCCCCUUAGUUUAAAAAAUUAUUGUUUUUGUACUUGGAUAAUAUUAGUAAUCAAAAAUCAAAUUUCUAAAUUAUUUCAGAACACGUCAAUUAAAAUUUUACAUGAUAUUUUAACUGUGUCAUUAUUGUGUUGUUGAUCCUUAAAAAAAAAUUAUUGUUUUGUUGAGCCAAUUAUAUUGCAUCAUUUUGUUACAUCUUAUUUUUUUUGUUUUUUUAGUGCUUCAAAUUUUGUUUAUACUUUUUUUUAUAGUCCAAAUUUUGUUUUUACAAAAAAAGGUAUGAAAUGAUCCAUCCUUAAUUUUAUUUGGUCAACAAAUUUCUUUUUUUUUUUUUUUCUUUUCUUUCGCACCGAUUUUCGACCCACCAUUGGUGGACGACUAAUCCGACUCAUGCAUAGAGGUAUGCGCACUGGUCAAGUGUUGUUCCCCUGGGAAUCAAACCCGGUAUUCCCCGGGUACAUCUUUGAAAGGAGCUCCUCUCCACUGGAGUCCAAACAACUUAGUUAUUUGGUCAACAAAUUCUUUUUUUUUUUUUUUGACUUUCGCACCGGUUUUCGACCCACUAAAGGUGAACGACUAAUCCGGCUCAUGCGUAGAGGCAUGCGCACUGGCCAAGCGUUGUUCCUCCUGGGAAUUGAACCCGGUAUUUCCCGGGUACGUCCUUGGAAGGAGCUCCUAACCACUGGAGUCUGGAGCCCAAACAACUUGGUUAUUUGGUCAACAAAUUCUAAUCACACUAUUACUGGCAAAAUAUAUAUUUUUACUUUAAUACGAACAAUUUUAUUACCUUAACCGAAGAGUUGAUAAUUUGUCACACUCAAUUUCGCUAAUCAUGUAUGAAUUUUCCUCUCUUUAAAAAAAAAAAGUAUUAAUUUUCCUAAUCAUGGAAAUUUCUAAGCUACAAUACUAUUCAUGUAACUAAAAGUAUUACUUUGCCUUUACUAAGAAGAUUUUAAGCCAAUGUAAUAUUCAUUUAACCGAAAACUGAUGAUACAUCAACUUUUUUAAUUGACUGAAGGUGUCAAUCAUGUCAUUAAAAAGAAUUCCUCUAAUGAUAGUUUUUUUUUUUGGUCAAGAACCUCCAAUGAUAGUUUAACAUGUGUCAAUUUUGUUUUGUUGAACCAGUCAUAUUGUUUAACUUUGGUUUUAUUGUGUCAUAUAUAUUAUUUUUUAUUGCUUCAAAUAAUAUUAUACUUAAGCUCUUAUCCUAUGUAUACCAUAUGUUUUAUUCGGUUCUUUCAUCUUCUUCUCCCUGCAACCUAAAAUAAAAAACAUAUGUACAAUUAACUAAUGUAUGCAAUAUUAUCUUUCUUGCACAUAUUAUUAUGUAUAUUUUUAAAUCUUGAUAAGUGUUUUGAUAACUUUUCUUAGAGUUUUUCUAUUUACACCCCAUGUUUUUCUGGUUACACCCAAAUUUUCUUAAAAAAAAAUUAUAAUACCAAAAUUGCCCUUUUACAUAAAUUUUCUUAAAACCCUAAUUUUAUUCAUUGUCAGUGAGUUUCACCCUCUUUCACCCCACAAAGCGAUUGAUCAAACAAUUUGAUGUUCAAUAUCAAUCUCCAUGAAAAUUAAAGAGUGAAUCAAAAUAUUUUUCAUCCAUACUCAAUUGGAUAUAAGUGAGUGAAUUUCUUCUUCUAUUUGCUAGUUUCAAUUUUUUUCCUUCAACUGCACUGAUGCACUGUACCAUUACGGUUUUAAUUUACAUUGGCAAGGUUAACUUAAAUUCAGUUUAAGUAGGUUCAUGUAAACUUAGUUUACAUGAACCUACUUAAACUGAGUUAACAUGAACCUACUUAAACUGAGUUUACAUGAACAUACUUAAACCGAGUUUACAUGAACAUACUUAAACUGAGUUUACAUGAACCUACUUAAAUUGAGUUUACAUGAACCUACUUAAAUUGAGUUUACAAAAUCGCAGAACUGUGAAUCGCAGAACAAGGAAAACACAAAAUCAGAACUGAGAACCCAUAACAAGAAAAACACAAUCGAUUGAAGAACAACACUUGCUAACCUGAUUUGCUUCGAAUUUUCUUUGAAAUCAUGAAUGGACGUGAGAAAGUAUGGUUUUGAAAAUCUUCGCAGAACACAAUCGAUCGAUUGGAGAAUUAUGGUUUUGGAAGAAGGGUUUUGGGGUGUAACCAAAAAAGAAGGAAUAGGCUUUUUGAAAAUCAAAUUUUAUGAAAGGGUAAUCUUGUCAUUUUGGG
Molecule: long non-coding RNA, 14685 nt
Filed under: Medicago truncatula (barrel medic)
Lineage: Eukaryota; Viridiplantae; Streptophyta; Magnoliopsida; Fabales; Fabaceae
Description: long non-coding RNA (MTRU_LNC002349)
Source: RNAcentral